This 254-nucleotide long non-coding RNA is filed under the name Elaeis guineensis (African oil palm). Its description in RNAcentral is "long non-coding RNA (EGUI_LNC024808)". The record is from RNAcentral. Lineage: Eukaryota; Viridiplantae; Streptophyta; Magnoliopsida; Arecales; Arecaceae.
GGGAGGGUUGCCGAUGUGCUUGAUGUUAGAGGAAGGGAGGGAUAGGAGGGAAUGGUUGAGAGGAAGGAGUCAAUACAAGGCGAGGUUCAUGGAGCUAGCCUCGGUGACAAGGAGGUGAGGGAAAGAGUGGUGCUAGUAUCAGUGAAGCGAGUGGUGCUAGCUUAAGUAAAGGCGGAGGGGACAUGGUCAAUGAUAAAUGCUGGAGCAAUGAAAAUAGAGAGAGAGGUAGUACAGGCCGUUGCCAGAAAGAGGGA